UGGGGAAUUUUGCACAAUGGGGGAAACCCUGAUGCAGCGACGCCGCGUGAUUUAGAAGGCCUUCGGGUUGUAAAAAUCUUUUCUAUGGGAAGAAAAUGACAGUACCAUAGGAAUAAGGACCGGCUAAUUACGUGCCAGCAGCCGCGGUAAUACGUAAGGUCCGAGCGUUGUCCGGAAUCAUUGGGCGUAAAGGGUACGUAGGCGGGUAAGCAAGUUAGAAGUGAAAUCCUAUAGCUCAACUAUAGUAAGCUUUUAAAACUGCUCAUCUUGAGGUAUGGAAGGGAAAGUGGAAUUCCUAGUGUAGCGGUGAAAUGCGCAGAUAUUAGGAGGAAUACCGGUGGCGAAGGCGACUUUCUGGCCAUAACCUGACGCUGAGGUACGAAAGCGUGGGUAGAAAACAGG
Molecule: ribosomal RNA, 402 nt
Filed under: bacterium
Lineage: Bacteria
Description: partial 16S ribosomal RNA
Rfam family: Bacterial small subunit ribosomal RNA
Source: RNAcentral